AAAACAAUUUGUAAUGUGAGCUGCUGACAGAGAUACAGGAAACACAGAGCUGGAGCGGAGCAGAUCUCCUGUCGAAGAACAUCUCCAAAGCACCAUGAACCAUCUGACUAGGCAGUUCGUGAAGACGGAUAACCUGGACGGAAGUCAGUUCAAGAUCCAGCCUCCACACCAGACUUCUCACUCACAAGGAUUGCUGUCUACUAGAUAUUAUGUGUACUCUUCAGACUUAGGUUCAUGCAGAUAUUAUUCAGGGACAUGAACACUUGAAUACUGCAAAAAUAGAGAAACUACCUUAUUUAAGAAUUUUGUGUUAAUUGCGUGAACAUUAAACAAAUAUAUUUAUUUACUGUUUUUGUUUUGUAUUCCAAAGCACCUAAAAGCCAAUUCACACUGCCAUACUCCAACAGGGUGAACACACUGACCAAGCAAAACAAAUAAGCAUGUUUUUAUAGUUUUUGUGAAAGUGUGAACUGACAAUGCUGUAUGUUAGGUGUGAGAUUCAUUCAACUUGGUUUGCUGAUUAAACAUGA
Onychostoma macrolepis is the source of this 530-nucleotide long non-coding RNA. RefSeq lists it as uncharacterized. The record is from RefSeq and is a predicted model, not a curated record. Lineage: Eukaryota; Metazoa; Chordata; Actinopteri; Cypriniformes; Cyprinidae. The transcript is spliced from 3 exons.